Cyprinus carpio (common carp) is the source of this 1424-nucleotide long non-coding RNA. NCBI's taxonomy places the organism in Eukaryota, Metazoa, Chordata, Actinopteri, Cypriniformes, Cyprinidae. The record is from Ensembl.
UUUUUCAAAUAAAAAAUAGUUAUUUCAAAUUGUAAUAUGCAGGGCAUCUCUGUUUAGGUUACGAGGGCACUUUUUUGAACAUAAAGGAGUGGUUAUGAUAUCGAAAUUAAUGGGAAGUGUGACAAUGCAGUCAGAAAUAGAAAGUGUUCAGUUGUAUCAGGACAAUUAUAACAGUUGCAUCGGGGGGUGGAGAUUAAAGACAGUAUAUUAAGCUUGCAUUACUUAUGUUAGGUUACUUCUCAGUAGUCACUUUUCUGGCAUUAGGUUUGGUAGCAAAAAAACUUAAAAAGAUGUUUCAGUUUAUUAUAUUUAUUGGAUUGGCUUUACUGAUUGGUAGAUCAAUACCAACAGCUGCAGAAACAUCUAUCGCUCCAUCAACAAGAACAACAGCCCCUGAACUAACAUGUAUAAUAGCUACAGCAGCAUCUAUAGUUCGAUUAACAAAAAAUCCUGCAUCAACAUGUAUAUCAGCUACAGCAACAUCUACAGCUCGAUCAUCAACCACAACCCCUGCCCCACAGUCUACAUCUCGCUCAGCAGUCACUGAACCAACAUCUACAACUCAAUCAAGACCACCUGCACCAACUUUAAGUUCAACUGUGCUAACAUCAACCACUCUGUUAUCAACUGCAUCAACAUCGAUAUCAGCUGCAGUAACAUCUACUUCUCAAAAGACAGCUCAACUUACAUAUACAACUCAACCAGCUUCUGUCCCACAAAGUAAAAAAGCAAUUUUAUUUUGCCUGUUCAUGCAUUUUUAUUAAUCACCAUUCAGAUUUUGUUAUUAAAUUAGAGUUUUAUUCACCUAUGCUAAUAUGAAUCUAAUAUGAGCUUUCAUUUUACAGAUAUGACAGCAUUAGCUUCUGCAACUUUCAAAUUGAGAUGCUUUGCUGAGCUGAGCAAUGAUGAAAUCAUUACGUAUAUUGAAAAGGUGAGCUAUUAUUUUGUUAUUAACAUUUUUUGUCUAAUUGUUAGCAUUAAUUUGUUGCCGAACUGUUGAAGAAUUAACAACAAAACAUAUCAAGCAAGCAAUUACAAUGGAAAUGUAAUGUACCCAUGGCAGGAAAACAACAACUCUUUGUUUAGAAUGUGACAUUUGAGAAGAAGUUGGCUGACAGCAGAAUAAUUCGACAUAGAAGCUGUUGUUUUAUUUUGUAGGUAAAUUACCAGAUGUUACUGUACUUUUUUUUUCAUCGCAGUUUGUCAAGCACUUUCAAUCAAGCAUUAGUGGGACCAUCAAGAUUACUGUGAGGAAAUCAAGAAAACUGUUGGCAUAAGGAUCUGAUGGAAAACUUGUGACUUUCCUCUGUAUACUUGCAGUUUUACUGUUGUAAUUAAACAAUACUAUACAUUGAACACAUAUUAUUGUUGCACCUUUCCUAUACAAAGUAAAAAAUAAAAAUAAAAAAAAAUACUCUGAAACA